This 493-nucleotide ribosomal RNA is filed under the name uncultured bacterium. RNAcentral's name for it is "partial 16S ribosomal RNA". It matches the Rfam family "Bacterial small subunit ribosomal RNA", at positions 28 to 507 of the family's 1533-position model. The record is from RNAcentral.
GACGAACGCUGGCGGCGUGCCUAACACAUGCAAGUUGAGCGACGAACCAGGGCUUGCCCUGGGGCAAAGCAGCGAACGGGUGAGUAACACGUGGGUAACCUACCCCGAUAACCGGGACAACCCGAGGAAACUCGGGCUAAUACCGGAUGUGCUCACUGGACUUCGGUUCAGUGCGUAAAGGAAGCUUCGGCCUCCGCAUCGGGAGGGGCCCGCGGCCCAUUAGUUUGUUGGUGAGGUAACGGCUCACCAAGACCGCGAUGGGUAGCUGGUCUGAGAGGACGAUCAGCCACACUGGGACUGAGACACGGCCCAGACUCCUACGGGAGGCAGCAGUGGGGAAUCUUGCGCAAUGCGCGAAAGCGUGACGCAGCAACGCCGCGUGGGGGAAGAAGGCCUUCGGGUUGUAAACCCCUUUCAGGAGGGACGAAGGUUCGGCGGUGAAUAGCCGUCCGGACUGACGGUACCUCCACAAGAAGCCCCGGCUAACUACGUG